RNAcentral lists this ribosomal RNA (428 nucleotides) under uncultured bacterium. RNAcentral describes it as "partial 16S ribosomal RNA". It matches the Rfam family "Bacterial small subunit ribosomal RNA", at positions 355 to 800 of the family's 1533-position model. The record is from RNAcentral.
UGGGGAAUAUUGGACAAUGGGGGCAACCCUGAUCCAGCAAUGCCGCGUGUGUGAAGAAGGUCUUCGGAUUGUAAAGCACUUUCGACGGGGACGAUGAUGACGGUACCCGUAGAAGAAGCCCCGGCUAACUUCGUGCCAGCAGCCGCGGUAAUACGAAGGGGGCUAGCGUUGCUCGGAGUGACUGGGCGUAAAGGGCGUGUAGGCGGUUUACACAGUCAGAUGUGAAAUCCCCGGGCUUAACCUGGGAGCUGCAUUUGAUACGUGUAGACUAGAGUGUGAGAGAGGGUUGUGGAAUUCCCAGUGUAGAGGUGAAAUUCGUAGAUAUUGGGAAGAACACCGGUGGCGAAGGCGGCAACCUGGCUCAUGACUGACGCUGAGGCGCGAAAGCGUGGGGAGCAAACAGGAUUAGAUACCCUGGUAGUCCACGC